Non-coding RNA from Teladorsagia circumcincta, 71 nucleotides. The record is from the annotation of a GenBank genome assembly. NCBI's taxonomy places the organism in Eukaryota, Metazoa, Nematoda, Chromadorea, Rhabditida, Trichostrongylidae.
GAUAAGUGGUUCAAAGGUAGAACUCUCGCCUUAAAUGCGGCAUACCGCAGGUUCGAUUGCCGCCUAAGGCA